This 307-nucleotide ribosomal RNA is filed under the name uncultured bacterium. RNAcentral describes it as "bacterial SSU rRNA". It matches the Rfam family "Bacterial small subunit ribosomal RNA", at positions 1033 to 1337 of the family's 1533-position model. The record is from RNAcentral.
GACAGGUGGUGCAUGGUUGUCGUCAGCUCGUGUCGUGAGAUGUUGGGUUAAGUCCCGCAACGAGCGCAACCCUUGUCAGUCAGUUACUAACAUUCAGUUGAGGACUCUGGUCGAGACUGCCGAGGUUAAACUCGGAGGAAGGUGGGGAUGACGUCAAAUCAUCAUGCCCCUUAUGUUCUGGGCUACACACGUGCUACAAUGGUCGGUACAAUGAGAGGCAAACCUGUGAGGGGGAGCAAAUCACCAAAACCUGAUCCCAGUUCGGAUUGUAGGCUGAAACUCGCCUAGCAUGAAGUUGGAGUUGCUA